AUUUCNANUGGGCGAAAGCCUGAAGGAGCGACGCCGCGUGGGGGAUGAAUGGCUUCGGCCCGUAAACCCCUGUCAUUUGCGAACAAAUUGCUUCACCUAACACGUGAAGCAUUGAUUGUAGCGGAAGAGGAAGGGACGGCUAACUCUGUGCCAGCAGCCGCGGUAAUACAGAGGUCCCAAGCGUUGUUCGGAUUCACUGGGCGUAAAGGGUGCGUAGGCGGCCAGGUAAGUUUGAUGUGAAAUCCCGCAGCUCAACUGCGGAACUGCAUUGAAUACUAUUUGGCUCGAGGAAUGGAGGGGAGACUGGAAUUCUCGGUGUAGCAGUGAAAUGCGUAGAUAUCGAGAGGAACACCAGUGGCGAAGGCGAGUCUCUGGACAUUUCCUGACGCUCAGGCACGAAAGCCAGGGGAGCAAACGGGAUUAGAUACCCCGGUAGUCCUGGCCUUAAACGGUGCGCAUUUGCUGUGAGCGGAAUCGACCCCGCUCGUGGCGAAGCUAACGCGUUAAAUGCGCCGCCUGGGAAGUACGGCCGCAAGGUUAAAACUCAAAGAAAUUGACGGA
Molecule: ribosomal RNA, 561 nt
Filed under: uncultured bacterium
Lineage: Bacteria
Description: bacterial SSU rRNA
Rfam family: Bacterial small subunit ribosomal RNA
Source: RNAcentral